This 77-nucleotide transfer RNA is filed under the name Helicobacter enhydrae. Its description in RNAcentral is "Helicobacter sp. MIT 01-6242 tRNA-Arg". It matches the Rfam family "tRNA". From Rfam's summary of the family: Transfer RNA (tRNA) molecules are approximately 80 nucleotides in length. Their secondary structure includes four short double-helical elements and three loops (D, anti-codon, and T loops). Further hydrogen bonds mediate the characteristic L-shaped molecular structure. tRNAs have two regions of fundamental functional importance: the anti-codon, which is responsible for specific mRNA codon recognition, and the 3' end, to which the tRNAs corresponding amino acid is attached (by aminoacyl-tRNA synthetases). tRNAs cope with the degeneracy of the genetic code in two manners: having more than one tRNA (with a specific anti-codon) for a particular amino acid; and 'wobble' base-pairing, i.e. permitting non-standard base-pairing at the 3rd anti-codon position. Lineage: Bacteria; Pseudomonadati; Campylobacterota; Epsilonproteobacteria; Campylobacterales; Helicobacteraceae. RNAcentral also lists the same sequence under 1 other name. The record is from RNAcentral.
GUCCUCAUAGCUCAGCAGGAUAGAGCGUAUGAUUCCUAAUCAUAAGGUCGGGAGUUCGAACCUCUCUGGGGACACCA